RNAcentral lists this unclassified non-coding RNA (161 nucleotides) under soil metagenome. RNAcentral's name for it is "partial internal transcribed spacer 1". The record is from RNAcentral.
AAGGGACGUUGCCCUUCGGGGUAUACCUCCCACCCUUUGUUUAUUAUACCUUUGUUGCUUUGGCGGGCCCGUCCUCGGACCACCGGCUUCUGCUGGUCAGUGCCCGCCAGAGGACCUAAAACUCUGUUUGUUAAUAUUGUCUGAGUACUAUAUAAUAGUUA